RNAcentral lists this ribosomal RNA (465 nucleotides) under uncultured bacterium. RNAcentral's name for it is "partial 16S ribosomal RNA". It matches the Rfam family "Bacterial small subunit ribosomal RNA", at positions 28 to 507 of the family's 1533-position model. The record is from RNAcentral.
GACGAACGCUGGCGGCGUGCUUAACACAUGCAAGUCGAACGGAAAGGCCCUGCUUGCAGGGUACUCGAGUGGCGAACGGGUGAGUAACACGUGGGUGAUCUGCCCUGCACUUCGGGAUAAGCCUGGGAAACUGGGUCUAAUACCGGAUAGGAGCCAUUUUUAGUGUGAUGGUUGGAAAGUUUUUUCGGUGUAGGAUGAGCUCGCGGCCUAUCAGCUUGUUGGUGGGGUAAUGGCCUACCAAGGCGGCGACGGGUAGCCGGCCUGAGAGGGUGGACGGCCACAUUGGGACUGAGAUACGGCCCAGACUCCUACGGGAGGCAGCAGUGGGGAAUAUUGCACAAUGGGCGCAAGCCUGAUGCAGCGACGCCGCGUGGGGGAUGACGGCCUUCGGGUUGUAAACUCCUUUCGCUAGGGACGAAGCUUUUUAUGACGGUACCUAGAUAAGAAGCACCGGCUAACUACGUG